Molecule: small RNA, 76 nt
Filed under: Escherichia coli
Lineage: Bacteria; Pseudomonadati; Pseudomonadota; Gammaproteobacteria; Enterobacterales; Enterobacteriaceae
Description: partial RtT sRNA
Rfam family: RtT RNA
About the family: This family represents a bacterial cis-regulatory element known as RtT RNA.
Source: RNAcentral
AGCGAGAGAGCGUUGCCGCAGGCAACGACCCGAAGGGCGAAGCGCGCAGCGUUGAGUAAUCCUUCCCCCACCACCA